GUAACAUUCAGAGAUGUGGCUGUAGACUUCUCUGAGGAAGAGUGGGAGUGCCUGAAUGUGGAACAGAGGACUUUGUACACAGAUGUGAUGAUGGAGAUCUACAGCCACCUAAUCUCAGUGGAAACAAGAAAAGCCCCCAGGAUGAUUUUGAUGGGUGAGACAAGAGGCCUCUAUCCAGACACAGAUUUCAGUUCUCAGAACAAGAAGUUAUUGAAUAAAACUAACACAUAUGAAGAAUUAUCUCAGUGGGAAAUGAAGGAAUUUUCUA
Molecule: long non-coding RNA, 268 nt
Organism: Onychomys torridus (southern grasshopper mouse)
Lineage: Eukaryota; Metazoa; Chordata; Mammalia; Rodentia; Cricetidae
Exons: 3
Source: RefSeq, a predicted model, not a curated record